This 421-nucleotide ribosomal RNA is filed under the name uncultured Prevotellaceae bacterium. RNAcentral describes it as "bacterial SSU rRNA". It matches the Rfam family "Bacterial small subunit ribosomal RNA", at positions 356 to 774 of the family's 1533-position model. The record is from RNAcentral. Lineage: Bacteria; Pseudomonadati; Bacteroidota; Bacteroidia; Bacteroidales; Prevotellaceae.
GAGGAAUAUUGGUCAAUGGGCGAGAGCCUGAACCAGCCAAGUAGCGUGCAGGAUGACGGCCCUAUGGGUUGUAAACUGCUUUUGAAGGGGAGUAAAGUGAGUGACGAGUCACUCAUUGCAAGUACCCUUGGAAUAAGGACCGGCUAAUUCCGUGCCAGCAGCCGCGGUAAUACGGAAGGUCCGGGCGUUAUCCGGAUUUAUUGGGUUUAAAGGGAGCGUAGGCGGCCUUUCAAGCGUGUUGUGAAAUGCAGUGGCCCAACCACUGGAUUGCAGCGCGAACUGGGAGGCUUGAGAGCGCACGACGCAGGCGGAAUUUGUGGUGUAGCGGUGAAAUGCUUAGAUAUCACGAAGAACCCCGAUUGCGAAGGCAGCUUGCGGGAGCGCAUCUGACGCUGAAGCUCGAAAGUGCGGGAAUCAAACA